GCUGGUCUGAGAGGAUGGUCAGCCACACUGGGACUGAGACACUGCCCAGACUCCUACGGGAGGCUGCAGUCGAGAAUAUUUAGCAAUGGGCGAAAGCCUGACUAUGCGACGCCGCGUGCGGGAUGAAGGUCUUCGGAUUGUAAACCGCUUUUGUCGGGGGAGAAACCUGUAGCGUUAACACCGCUACAGCUGACGGUACCUGACGAAUAAGCCACGGCCAACUCUGUGCCAGCAGCCGCGGUAAUACAGAGGUGGCAAGCGUUACUCGGAAUUAUUGGGUGUAAAGGGCAGGUAGGUGGCUUGGUAAGUGAGAGGUGAAAUCCUGCGGUUCAAUCGCAGAACUGCCUUUCAAACUGCCUGGCUUGAGAGCGACAGAGGAAGAUGGAAUUCCCGGUGUAAGGGUGAAAUCUGUAGAUAUCGGGAAGAACACCAACGGCGAAGGCAAUCUUCUGGGUCGCUUCUGACACUGAGCUGCGAAAGCUAGGGGAGCAAACAGAAUUAGAUACUCUGGUAGUCCUAGCCGUAAACGAUGAGUACUAGGUGUUGGCACCUUCGGGUGUCGGCGCCGAAGCUAACGCAUUAAGUACUCCACCUGGGGACUACGAUCGCAUGUUAAAACUCAAAGGAAUUGACGGGGGCCCGCACAAGCGGUGGAACAUGUGGUUUAAUUCGAUGCUACGCGAAAAACCUCACCUGGGCUUGACAUGUAAGCAGUAGAGAAAUGAAAGUGGAUCGAACCGUCAAGUCGGUAACUUACACAGGUGCUGCAUGGCUGUCGUCAGCUCGUGUCGUGAGAUGUUGGGUUAAGUCCCGCAACGAGCGCAACCAUUGCCCUAUGUUGCCACUUCAGUGGCCAGUUUACUGGUCGCUGAAAGCACUCUUAGGGGACUGCCUGGGACAACCGGGAGGAAGGUGGAGAUGACGUCAAGUCAGUACGGCCUUUAUGCCCAGGGCAACACACGUGUUACAAUGGUCACUACAAAGGGUUGCCAACCCGCGAGGGGGAGCUAAUCUCAAAAAAGUGGCCUCAGUUCGGAUAGGAGUCUGCAAUUCGACUCCUUGAAGCCGGAAUCGCUAGUAAUGGUGGAUCAGCACGCCACCGUGAAUACGUUCCCGGGCCUUGUACACACCGCCCGUCAAGCGAUGGGAGCCGGAAGUACCCGAAGUCCUACGUAGGUAGGCCCAAGGUAAAGCCGGUGACUGGCGCUAAGUCGGAACAAGGUA
RNAcentral lists this ribosomal RNA (1224 nucleotides) under metagenome. Its description in RNAcentral is "bacterial SSU rRNA". It matches the Rfam family "Bacterial small subunit ribosomal RNA", at positions 286 to 1498 of the family's 1533-position model. The record is from RNAcentral.